Molecule: transfer RNA, 72 nt
Filed under: Ichthyscopus lebeck (longnosed stargazer)
Lineage: Eukaryota; Metazoa; Chordata; Actinopteri; Uranoscopiformes; Uranoscopidae
Also listed under: 1 other name
Description: tRNA-Asp
Source: RNAcentral
AAGACACUAGUAAAAUCGCCAUUACUCUGCCUUGUCGAGACAGAUUUGUGGGUUGAAACCCCACGUGCCUUA